AUGAGUCUACUUUUUUGAAAUUGCCGGGGUGGGGGGAAUCGCCGGACAGUUCGUGAGGUGUUGGCCCUCACAAAGACCAACGUCCCCAAGUUUGUAUUUUUAAGUGAGACUAGGCAAACUAAAGAGAAGAUGGAGAAGCUUAAAUGGAGACUGGGUUUGAAGGGUUUCAGUGGUGUUAGUAGUAAUGGAAGAAGCGGAGGUUUGGCCCUAUUU
This 213-nucleotide ribosomal RNA is filed under the name Triticum aestivum (bread wheat). RNAcentral describes it as "partial small subunit ribosomal RNA". The record is from RNAcentral. Lineage: Eukaryota; Viridiplantae; Streptophyta; Magnoliopsida; Poales; Poaceae.